UGUAAGAAUUACAGAAACUUCAGACACUUUGAUCUUCUGAGAUAUACUAAGGACACACAGUGCAUUAACAUACAGACAUCUGUUCUCACAUCUCACUGAGAGAAAAUGCAGGAAACGCCUCUCUCACAUAUGCAACAGUUCCUACUCAUUCCAUUCCUUCCCUUCACAUAGCUCACUCAGAAUGGUCAAUAGUAGAAUAUAAUGGUAUAUAUUAAUGCAAGUGAUAUUUACAGUCAUGUUUGGUGUCAUUUGAAUUGUCUCAGUGCAACUGGUACAAUGGUGUCUGUCUUACAAAAGUAGAUUAAAAGAUAAUUCAUUUCCUAAGAAUUAAGAGAUAUUCUGUAUAUCUGUAAUGGGAGGGAGUGCCCCUUCCUAGGGUCCUCCAUGUAAAUUACCUUCUGUCCCCAUUGAGGUGUAAACUACCCUGGUCUGGGACCUGACCUAAUGCAAAUUCCAAUUGUUAGUUUCUGUCUUCAUCUCGGGGGAUGUUUGUGUGAGGUAUUUAAACGAUUGCAGCAAAAGGAUCAGGGCCUUCUGUAGCUGGAAUGAGCCCAUAGCAUGAAGUGUGUCCACACACUUCAUACUAUGUAUUUUUCUAAGAGUCAGGUAUGCAUCUUUUACUAUUAGAUUCAUCUUUGAGAAUUUGGUGUCUAGUAUUGAUUUGAUAUCUAUGAAUUGGCUAUGUAAUUGGCAUAAUCCUUACCUGACUGAUAAUAAAUUGUUACAUUUGAUUUACUCUGACUGACUCUGAAACUAUUUUCUCAAGGAGAUUAAGUGAAGGCUAUGUUUCCGCAAAUCUGCGUCCAGGGUUAAGUGCAUACUAAAACUCAGACUAGAUGGAGCAUGGGGCGCAUCAGGUGAGGUUUUAGAUUUCUGGCUAAACCGCUUGACUUUAGUUAAGUUGUACUCAGUUGCAUUAACUAUGGGGGGCUAGUAACAGUACUGGUCAUAACCGCUGGUUAUUGUCUCAGCUUUAAUUAAGUUGUACGAAGUUAUAUGACUGUCGGGGGGGGGGCUAGACAGAUAGUGCUAGCAGAACCGCUGAUUAUUGUUCUGAGCUUUAACUAAGUUGUACAUGGGUAGCUGAGGGGGACUAAAUGGAUUAGACAUAAACCUCUGACUACUGUUGAGACUGGCGAGUUUGUGAUCGUGGGGCACACGUAGAAGAACGCCCGUCGUGGGGCACCCUGAGCGACAUAGAUUACUAAUGAACGAGUAAAAUAAAGUAAAGAGUUAAAUUAGAAUAAUCAAAUCUCAGAAGAAUAACAAUAAUAAUUAGAGACCAACAAACAACCAAUUUGCCUUUCAACCUAAAUUCGAGGUCAUACUAAAAUGGAGUCAGAUUAGAUAAGAAAAUGGAGUCAGAUUAAAUAAUAAAAUGGAGUCAGAUUUGAGCUUAACCUAAACUGAAUAACUUUACGCGCUGAAAGACAGAACACGCAGGAAGCCUUCAUCCAGCACCGGAUACCUUCCUUGGGCCGAGUGCCUGGACCUUACAAAUUGGUGACCCCGCCGACGUGAUCUCCUUACAAAGUGGUGACUGGUAACGGGAUCUGCUAAAAAGGCGAGUGACGUCUUUCAGUGCAAUAUGGAUUUGUACCGAACAAGAGGUUUGACCAUCUCCUUCUCUUUCUCCAGCUGCUGUGGUUGACCACUGCAAUUCUUUGGAGGACAGAUACCAGGAAAGUGUCUGGUCCCAUCUGCACCAAGACAGGACAAAAGAAUUGUUACAUAACCUGAAAUGCGGGAGAUGAAUGUGAAGACACUUGAAGGGGCCGUUCACACCUCACAGUAGAACAUCACCACGCAAAUAUCUACAUGGCCUCCCGGAUUAGAACCGGAACUAAAUUUUUGCAACACAGAUUGCUAUAGAUUAGACUCCAUUCAUCUCCAAGACAUGACCAUAGAACACACACCUCAUCCAUUGCAUCACCUCAUUUAGACUAUCCAGUCUGUACACUACACACAGAAGACAAUGAUGGCUUAGAUUACAAAUGAGGUACUCCUCUAAAGAUCUAUUGUCCAUCUUCACACUGACAGAACCACAUAGCCUCACACACACAGGACAAUAUAAUUUAUCCCAUGCUAAAAUAGACACACAACAUAUAACUAUUUGCAACUGUCUGCAAACUCAUGGAACAACACUGUAACACACAUUUGCAUGAAUAGUCACAGAUUGAUGGCACAAAUUUUGAACACAGAGGCAGACAAGCCUUUACAAUUUAAAAUAUUGAAUCUUUAUGAUUGUUAUUGGGGUGGUUGAGAAGCCAGAGGGCCCCUGGUUUCCCAACACAUCACCAAUGACAAUAAGCAUUAUUAAAAUGAUUAAAUGUGAAGUGCCUGCACUUCAUUUCUGUCAGUCAAUUAUAAAAUUUACAAUUCUACCAAACAAUCAACUGUGACUUAGCCUUCAUAUCAGAUACCAUUCACACACACACACACACACACACACACACACACGUUAGGAAUUUAGGAUUUCCAUUGUAGGAAAAUGUUUUAAUCAUGUUCUAACCUUACAUCUUCUUAAGUGGCUUGCAAUAGAAGAUUCCUGAAUUAACAGUGUGAUUAUUAUAUAUAUACCUUCAUAAUUGUGAUUGAAUAUGAUUCUUAUUGUCAUUAUAUGACUUGUUUAUUGAUGCAUACCUCUAAAUUAAUGCUCAAGUUAAACUGACCUCUUGCUGCAUUUUCCUUUGAGUCAUUCAUACCAAAAUGUACAUUGGACCACUCUACCAUAUUUGACCUUGAAAGACUUUUAACAUCAGAUGUACCACUUGCACUGGCUGACAUGAAUUCAUCAGGUUUCUUUUUUGUUUUAUUUUUCUUAUGUUAACUUAUGACUUUUCUAUUUUACUCCAUGGGUGAUGAAAUUUUAAGCUGAUCAAAAUUCAGUCAUUGGAUGGCCACUAAGAUGCUUUUCAGGUGUCUCACACAAAGCAGUGUGUAACCAGUGAGAACCCUUCACCUGUUGGAGCCUGCCCAGAAAUCUGCACAGUUGGAAGUGACAAGAUUCAUCAAAAGAGGCAAGAAAGACAGAGGGAAGGUGUCACUAAAGAUGGAAAGACACGUCAAGCUAAAAAGGCCUGGACUGAUUCAAUGAACUAUGCACAUGGGUUGUUCCCAACCAGACAGGUGAAUCUCUUAAACCUGUUCAUCCACCUGCUGAAUUCAAGCUACAUGCACCUGUUGAGAAUGGUGUACACAAAGGCCUUUCUCAAGGCCUCUACAACAACAAAUACUACAUCACAAGGACUACAAGAGCCUGACAAGUGACCCCUAUGAGAAUCAUCUGUAUUCGUGUCAUGUGGUCAAAGGGCGGACUGUAAGAAUUACAGAAACUUCAGACACUUUGAUCUUCUGAGAUAUACUAAGGACACACAGUGCAUUAACAUACAGACAUCUGUUCUCACAUCUCACUGAGAGAAAAUGCAGGAAACGCCUCUCUCACAUAUGCAACAGUUCCUACUCAUUCCAUUCCUUCCCUUCACAUAGCUCACUCAGAAUGGUCAAUAGUAGAAUAUAAUGGUAUAUAUUAAUGCAAGUGAUAUUUACAGUCAUGUUUGGUGUCAUUUGAAUUGUCUCAGUGCAACUGGUACAAUGGUGUCUGUCUUACAAAAGUAGAUUAAAAGAUAAUUCAUUUCCUAAGAAUUAAGAGAUAUUCUGUAUAUCUGUAAUGGGAGGGAGUGCCCCUUCCUAGGGUCCUCCAUGUAAAUUACCUUCUGUCCCCAUUGAGGUGUAAACUACCCUGGUCUGGGACCUGACCUAAUGCAAAUUCCAAUUGUUAGUUUCUGUCUUCAUCUCGGGGGAUGUUUGUGUGAGGUAUUUAAACGAUUGCAGCAAAAGGAUCAGGGCCUUCUGUAGCUGGAAUGAGCCCAUAGCAUGAAGUGUGUCCACACACUUCAUACUAUGUAUUUUUCUAAGAGUCAGGUAUGCAUCUUUUACUAUUAGAUUCAUCUUUGAGAAUUUGGUGUCUAGUAUUGAUUUGAUAUCUAUGAAUUGGCUAUGUAAUUGGCAUAAUCCUUACCUGACUGAUAAUAAAUUGUUACAUUUGAUUUAC
Carassius gibelio (silver crucian carp) is the source of this 4054-nucleotide long non-coding RNA. RefSeq lists it as uncharacterized. Lineage: Eukaryota; Metazoa; Chordata; Actinopteri; Cypriniformes; Cyprinidae. The transcript is spliced from 2 exons. The record is from RefSeq and is a predicted model, not a curated record.